CCUACGGGGGGCUGCAGUGGGGAAUAUUGCACAAUGGGGGAAACCCUGAUGCAGCGACGCCGCGUGAGGGAAGAAGUAUCUCGGUACGUAAAGCUCUAUCAGCAGGGAAGAAAAUGACGGUACCUGACGAAGAAGCCCGGGCUAAAUACGUGCCAGCAGCCGCGGUAAUACGUAGGGGGCAAGCGUUAUCCGGCUUUACUGGGGGGAAAGGGGGCGUAGACGGGAGCACAAGUCUGGAGUGAAAUCCCGGGGCUUAACCCCGGAACUGCUUUGGAAACUGUGCGGCUGGAGUGCAGGAGGGGUAAGCGGAAUUCCUGGUGUAGCGGUGAAAUGCGUAGAUAUUAGGAGGAACACCGGUGGCGAAGGCUGCUUACUGGACUGUAACUGACGUUGAGGCUCGAAAGCGUGGGGAGCAAACAGGAUUAGAUACCCCUGUAGUC
Molecule: ribosomal RNA, 440 nt
Filed under: uncultured bacterium
Lineage: Bacteria
Description: partial 16S ribosomal RNA
Rfam family: Bacterial small subunit ribosomal RNA
Source: RNAcentral